Long non-coding RNA from Solenopsis invicta (red fire ant), 990 nucleotides. RefSeq lists it as uncharacterized. The transcript is spliced from 3 exons. NCBI's taxonomy places the organism in Eukaryota, Metazoa, Arthropoda, Insecta, Hymenoptera, Formicidae. The record is from RefSeq and is a predicted model, not a curated record.
CGCACCCAAGGGAGGAGGAAGAGGAGGAAGAGGGAGAUCAAUGAGGCAUCGGAUGACGGCGGAGCAACCACGAGGAAAUAGUGAAUAGUGAGUGUGUGAUUUUAAGAAAGUGCUACGAAAUUGAUAACCAGGACAGUCUCUGAGAGGAGGAGGAGGUCUAGGAAAGACAUCAGGCGCCGGCGGAGCAACCUUGCGAAUCAUCGUAGUCAACGUUGCAGAUAACUCCGCUGUUGCGCAUCGGUCGGUGAGCGAAAUUUUUUUACCAAGAUAAUGGAUCUAUGGCAAUUAUAUAACAAAUAUAUCUCUCGAUAUGUGUCUGUUAAAUUAGAACAGUAAAUUAUUAGACAAAAAUAUUUCCCCUCGUAGAUCCAUUAUCUUAAAAUAGAAAUAUUGCUUGAUUUUUAAAAUGUAUUGCAUGAACGACUACAAAUCCAAGUAAAAGCUCGACACACAUAAAGCUUGACACAAAUCUGAAAUUAUAAGUGUAGGCCAAUUUAGAAAAAUUUAUAGCCAAGUUUAACCAAGAUAUAUUAGAACGUCUCUACAUACAUACGUAUGUAUAUUUGUAAAAAUACAGUUGAUUUCACUGUGUGAUAUAGCCUAUGAAAUUGAAGUUAAUUUGAAAUGUAAAGAAACACAAGAAUGUUUGACAAAUAUUUUUGUAAAAUAUUAAAUAUUUUUUAGACGAGAAAUUCACUGUACAGCUCUUAGAAUUUAUUUCGUUUUGUUUUUUUUUUUUUACAAUGUACAACGCGCUAUGUUUACACAAGGUUUCCAUGCCAUCAUUCGUAUGACGAGACUCGAGCGGACAGGUAGCGUAGGUGUAAGUCGUCACAUAUGUUAUUAAAUUUGAAAAUGCAGUCAUUCUUUGAACAAUUAGCGAUUAUCUGUCCGCGCAAUUGGUUGAUUUAAACGUUAAUAAUUUAAUAAAGCAUAAACGUACGAAACGACAAUUUCAAUGCUAAUGUUUCGUUCGCUUUAUUCAUUUUA